Molecule: ribosomal RNA, 459 nt
Filed under: uncultured bacterium
Lineage: Bacteria
Description: partial 16S ribosomal RNA
Rfam family: Bacterial small subunit ribosomal RNA
Source: RNAcentral
CCUCGGGUGGCAGCAGUGAGGAAUAUUGGUCAAUGGACGAGAGCCUGAACCAGCCAAGUAGCGUGAAGGAUUACUGCCCUUUGGGUUGUAAACUUCUUUUAUUUGGGAAUAAAACGUUCCACGUGUGGGAUUUUGUAUGUACCAUAUGAAUAAGGAUCGGCUAACUCCGUGCCAGCAGCCGCGGUAAUACGGAGGAUCCGAGCGUUAUCCGGAUUUAUUGGGGUUAAAGGGAGCGUAGGUGGAUUGUUAAGUCAGUUGUGAAAGUUUGCGGGUCAACCGUAAAAUUGCAGUUGAAACUGGCAGUCUUGAGUGCAGUAGAGGUAGGCGGAAUUCGUGGUGUAGCGGUGAAAUGCUUAGAUAUCACGAAGAACUCCGAUUGCGAAGGCAGUUCACUGGACUGCAACUGACACUGAGGCUCGAAAGUGUGGGUAUCAAACAGGAUUAGAUACCCCUGUAGUC